This 1297-nucleotide long non-coding RNA is filed under the name Lathyrus oleraceus (garden pea). Its description in RNAcentral is "Pisum sativum (pea) long non-coding RNA (PSAT_LNC026463)". Lineage: Eukaryota; Viridiplantae; Streptophyta; Magnoliopsida; Fabales; Fabaceae. The record is from RNAcentral.
GCAUUUCUACAUAUGCAAUAUGUGAAACAUCUCUUUAACCGCGAUCCUUACAUUCUAACCUUUGAAAGAUUUAGCCAAACAUGGUGAUACAAACAAAUACAACGAUAUUGAACAUGUUGAAAAGAAGUUUAGAAUGUAAGGCGUGAAGAACAAGUAAAGCGCGUAAAACAAUUAAAACGAGCAAUAAAGAUAAUGGCGAGAAAAUUAAAUAAAGUAAAUACAAUGGCAGGAAAUUAAAUAAAGUAAAGCAUGACAAGUAAUUAAAUAAAGUAAAGCAUGACAAGGAAUUAAAUAAAGUAAGGCAUGCAAGUAAAAUAAAAAGGCGAUUAAAUUAGAACCUGCUCCAAACGGAGGCUUUAAAUCUAGUACAAGGAAGUAAAUAGACCUUUGACUUUGAAAAUAAAGACGACAGCAAAAUCAAAGUGCUCCAACUCAAUUUCACUAAGGUGCGAUAACCCCUCGAUGUGACAGAUUACAACUUUUACAAAUGAUAAUAUAGUCUUAGUGUUGUAAACUAAGUUGGAUGAUUUGGAAAUGAACUAGAACGACCUAUUUAUAGAGGAACUCAGCAGCAUGCAAAGACCAGGAUGCCCUUUAACUUCUCUUUAGUGGGAAUGUGAAAUGCAAAGGUGGCGCUCGCCACCCCUCUAUGGCGCCCACCAUGUGAGUAAAUGGGGAAGUUCAUGGGAUCAUGGCAGUUUCCUCCUGGUUGAGGGCUGAUGUGUCAUGGCUUCUCCUAUAGCGGCGGCCAUGCAGAACGCCAUGAGUACAAUAUUUGCCGAAAACCCAAAUUUUUUUGGUCUUUUUGCUUCGUUUCUUCUACAAAGAUCCUGAAAGAGCUAAAUACUUGAAAACAACACAAAAGAAAGCAUAACACAAGCAAAAUGAUAAUAAAGACCUAAAAAACAUGUGAAGUCCGAGUAAAAAAUAUGGUGUGAUUCAGUGUGAUCAAAUUCUCCCACACUUAAACCUUUGCUUGUCCUCAAGUAAAACUCUUUAUAGCUCAUGCAAGAAAAACAAUAUCAACCAGAGUUAAUUCAAGGCGAAAAGGCUUAUAAGUUCAUUCAAGGAAUGUAUCGAUAGGUACUAACGAAUCGAACUAAGGAUAUUGUAGUGGCACUUCCCGCAAAUGCGGUCCUAGGCUUCGUUCCUAUACAAAUCAAUCCAUAUCACCCCACCAUGCCUAGGCCUUCUUUUCAUCUUCUUCAAGUCCUUUUCAUUCAGAUGUGUAGAGGGGUAUUCGUUACCAUUAGAGAUAUUGACUAAAUCCAAGGUAAACCAUACAAGUCGAGUCGCC